GGGGAUUUAGCUCAGCGGCAUAAGUGCCUGCCUUGAAAGCAGGCAGUCGAACCCCCA
This 57-nucleotide transfer RNA is filed under the name Cavia porcellus (domestic guinea pig). The record is from Rfam by way of RNAcentral. Lineage: Eukaryota; Metazoa; Chordata; Mammalia; Rodentia; Caviidae.